GAUGAACGCUGGCGGCGUGCUUAACACAUGCAAGUCGAACGGAAAGGCCCAAGCUUGCUUGGGUACUCGAGUUGCGAACGGGUGAGUAACACGUGGGUAACCUGCCCUGCACUUCGGGAUAAGCCUGGGAAACUGGGUCUAAUACCGGAUAGCACCAUGUUUUGGAUGCUAUUGUGGAAAGUUUUUGCGGUGUUGGAUGAGCUCGCGGCCUAUCAGCUUGUUGGUGGGGUAAUGGCCUACCAAGUCGUCGACGGGUAGCCGGCCUGCGAGAGUGUACGGCCGCACUGGGACCGAGAGACGGCCCAGAGUCGGACGGGAGGCAGAAGGGGGGAAGACUGCACGAUGGAAGCAAGCCUGAGGCAGCGAGGCCGCGGGGGGGAAAACGGCGUUCGGGUUGUAAAAACAGUUCGCGAGGGAAGAAGCGAUUUUGUGACGGUACCUGAAGAAAAAGCACCGGCUAACUACGUG
Molecule: ribosomal RNA, 468 nt
Filed under: uncultured bacterium
Lineage: Bacteria
Description: partial 16S ribosomal RNA
Rfam family: Bacterial small subunit ribosomal RNA
Source: RNAcentral